RNAcentral lists this ribosomal RNA (617 nucleotides) under uncultured bacterium. RNAcentral's name for it is "bacterial SSU rRNA". It matches the Rfam family "Bacterial small subunit ribosomal RNA", at positions 28 to 638 of the family's 1533-position model. The record is from RNAcentral.
AGCGAACGCUGGCGGCGUGCUUAACACAUGCAAGUCGAGUGCGCAGCUUUCUGUAGCAAUACAGGAAGCCGGCGCACGGCGCACGGGUGCGUAACACGUGGGUAACCUGCCCUCCAAAGGGGGAUAACCCCGCGAAAGCGGGGCUAAUACCGCAUGACAUUCCGAAGACUUCGGUAUUCGGAAUCAAAGCCCGCAAGGGCGUUGGGGGAGGGGCCCGCGGCCGAUUAGCUUGUUGGCGAGGUAACGGCUCACCAAGGCAUUGAUCGGUAGCCGGUCUGAGAGGAUGGCCGGCCACACUGGAACUGAGACACGGUCCAGACUCCUACGGGAGGCAGCAGUGGGGAAUCUUGCGCAAUGGGCGAAAGCCUGACGCAGCGACGCCGCGUGGGGGAUGAAGCUUCUCGGAGUGUAAACCCCUUUCGACCCGGACGAAACGCCCGUAAGGGCUUGACGGUACGGGUAUAAGAAGCCCCGGCUAACUACGUGCCAGCAGCCGCGGUAAGACGUAGGGGGCCAGCGUUGCUCGGAAUUACUGGGCGUAAAGGGUUCGUAGGCGGUGCGGCAAGUCGGAAGUGAAAUCCCUGGGCUUAACUCAGGGGCUGCUCCCGAAACUGCCG